AGUGAACGCUGGCGGUAGGCCUAACACAUGCAAGUCGAACGGCAGCACAGUAAGAGCUUGCUCUUACGGGUGGCGAGUGGCGGACGGGUGAGGAAUACAUCGGCAUCUACUUUUUCGUGGGGGAUAACGUAGGGAAACUUAUGCUAAUACCGCAUACGACCUACGGGUGAAAGCAGGGGAUCUUCGGACCUUGCGCGACUGAAUGAGCCGAUGUCGGAUUAGCUAGUUGGCGGGGUAAAGGCCCACCAAGGCGACGAUCCGUAGCUGGUCUGAGAGGAUGAUCAGCCACACUGGAACUGAGACACGGUCCAGACUCCUACGGGAGGCAGCAGUGGGGAAUAUUGGACAAUGGGCGCAAGCCUGAUCCAGCCAUACCGCGUGAGUGAAGAAGGCCUUCGGGUUGUAAAGCCCUUUUGUUGGGAAAGAAAAACAGCAGGUUAAUACCCCGCUGUUCUGACGGUACCCAAAGAAUAAGCACCGGCUAACUUCGUG
RNAcentral lists this ribosomal RNA (492 nucleotides) under uncultured bacterium. Its description in RNAcentral is "partial 16S ribosomal RNA". It matches the Rfam family "Bacterial small subunit ribosomal RNA", at positions 29 to 507 of the family's 1533-position model. The record is from RNAcentral.